This is a non-coding RNA of Epinephelus lanceolatus (giant grouper), 456 nucleotides long. Lineage: Eukaryota; Metazoa; Chordata; Actinopteri; Perciformes; Serranidae. The record is from RefSeq and is a predicted model, not a curated record.
UUCCGUUUGGAGCUUCCACCUUGUUCCCCGGCGCUGCGUUGUUAUUGUUUGUCCCUCUUCACCGAAGGACACGGCAGUCAUUACGCUUGUUCUUCUUGUAGGAGCAUCCCAUCUACGCUCCCUUGCAGAUGGGAUUGUGCUGAUGCCAGAGGAUUGCCACACCUUUGGCGUCAUGUCCACUCCAGGGGCGUGCGCUGACCAGCUCAGGACUGAGGAUGAAAAUGCUGUUCUUCCUCGGAUCUCUGAUGCUGUCUGUGUCAUGGCCCCUAGCAACAACCUAACAGCCAGCAAGACACCUAAGCAAGGAGGCAUAGCUUUUGGCCAAUACCUGGCCACUGUCUGCAGUGUCUGGCCGACUGCACAGGUCUUCGCUGGGACCUUGUCCCACACUUGACAGUUCCGGGGGAUAUCCAAGAGUUUUUCCGGCAUGAAUUUCACCGCGUGUCAGCACGUCUC